Herpailurus yagouaroundi (jaguarundi) is the source of this 2893-nucleotide long non-coding RNA. RefSeq lists it as uncharacterized. The transcript is spliced from 3 exons. The record is from RefSeq and is a predicted model, not a curated record. Lineage: Eukaryota; Metazoa; Chordata; Mammalia; Carnivora; Felidae.
UGUGGGGCUCCAACUCACAAACCAACCCGAGAUCAUGACCUGAGCCGAAGUCGGGUGCUUAAGCGACUGAGCCACCCAGGCGCCCCGAGAAAUCCUCUUUAUUUAUCAAAAUCUUUUUAGCCAAAUCUAACAGUAAUAGUGCACUUCAUAAAAUCAAGUAUUGCCACAAAAUGAUGGCAGGAUAAAGGACAAGAUCUUCUUUUAUAUGAAAGCUGUCCCCAUGGGAAAAGAUGGGCAAUAUAAAUUUAAGCCAAUACUUUUGGGAAUGCAUAGUGCUUAGAAAUUCUUAACAAGAUUGGAGAUUGAAAAAAAAAAUGUGAUGGAUUAAUGAUCAAGUAAACCUGUUAAAGUAGAAAAGUGCAGAUAUAGGCAAAGAAAGAGAUUCUUUUCUCUUACAUUUAGUUUGUGUUUUGUAAGUAGGAAUCACUAUCACUAUCUCUGUUGUUGUUAAACAACAGCAACAGCACUAACAGGGAUAAUCUUGAUUGACCAAAAGAUUUGUAAACAAUUAAAUUAAGGGCUUGUUCUUCACAAUGCAGAAAGAUUUGCCACUUUCCAUAACGUGCUGCUUUCUAGAAUGUGUCCAAUUAGGGCAUAAAAGUUGUUUUCUAGAUUCCUAAUUACUUCAAAGAUGAGUUUUGGUUUUGAGAUGAGUGUUGACAAGACAGAAACCAAACUACAGACUUUUGGAAGUUCGGACCAAUAAUAAGAAAUUAGCAAUCAAAUGUAAACCUUUCGGGAAUCGAAUAAAAACUUUGGUGAAAAUAGGUUUCAAAACAGCACACAAGGAGAAAGUCUUCUGCAUAAUGUCCAGUCCCACCAAAACCUAAAGACAGCAUUUAAUUCAGAUAUUUUGGGGGGACAAAAUAGGGUAACUUCCAGUUCUGGAGAGCUGACAGAUCACAAGCUUUCACGUCUCUUUGAAAUCAAUAUCCCACUGAUGUGACUGAAGUAAAACACAACAGAGGCUAAAUUAAAGCUGAGUUAGAGAGGGCUUCACCAGCGAACCAAAACAAAGAAAUGUUUCUCAAAGAGAUUUCUCAAACGGAUGCAGUCAAACUGAUGACAAGUCCCCACAAAGAGAACCCAAAAUACAGGCAUUAAGAUUGGACUAAGACAAAGAACACCUGCACGGAGAACCUGAGGGCAAGUCCUGCGGUCAAGGUUGAGAGAGAGGAAGACUCUGAAAUCAGAAUGCCUGAAUUCAUCGGAUCCAGGCUCCAACACCCUGCCUGCCUCAGUGUUCUCAAAUGAAGAAUGCAAAUGAGAAUAGUAUUUACCUGGAGACCUACUAUGAGGGUUACAUGAGAUCACGGAGAUAAAGCGUUUCACCGAAUGUCUGUCCUCCAGGAAGUGCUGAAGCAUUCAGAAUGUAACAAAAAUGAAAAUACCAAAUUCCAAAACCUAAGGGAGGCAGUUAAAAAUAAACAGAAAAAUCUUAUAGUGUUUUUCUUUAAAUAAUAUAUUUUAUUUAUCCCAGGGGUUCUCAGCCAGGGGAGAGUUUUAAAUGCCUUUAUUGUUCAAGGACUGGAAUGCAUAAACUAAUUGCAGCAGAGUCUGUGGGUUCCCUGCCCAGAUCCUCAGGGACCCUCUAUCAGCUGUGGCAUGUGCUCCUGCCAAUGACCUAUCCCUGCACGGGUCUGCAGUGGGCUCCCCUUAGAUGAUUUCCCCACCCACGGAUGCCUGAAGUUAACCAAUCAACAGCCAAUUCCAUUGAAUUGGUGUGCUUCUAUUCUAUCAAAAAGACUUCAAAAACCACAAGAAAGGAAAACAAGAAAAUAUACACAUAUUUGCUCAUUUGUGAAAGAAUAAACCAGAAACUAAUGUGACUGGUGACUUGAGUAAAAACAGGGUGGAAAAAUGGGAGAAUGGAAAUAGGAUACAAUCACAAGUGGGGUGUCUGACUUAAGCUUUGAUAUUCAAGGCAUCCAUUUCAAAGAGGCAACCACUUCAAAGAGGGCUGUCUGGAAUAAGCACAAUGCCAGCCACAGGACUAGAUCAAGAGCCAGGUCUCCUCCCCACCUGCUCAGCCCCUUUCCUUUAGCGAUAUUGGUAGAUUCCCAUAACUGGCCAUUUGGGCUGCUUCUUUUUUCUCUUCGCACACUUCAAAUUCCUGCUCCUCUUUUAAAUUCACCAAUAAAGAGUGAACCCUUGAAACUCUAACCCCCACCUUCAACUCCAAUAAAAGCAGAACCCCACCUCCAUGAGUUCUCUCCACAACCCUGCUGUACGGCCCCCCAGGUGUCCCAUGUGAUUUUGAGGACCCUUGAGUAAUAGACAUUUUAUCCCCCAAGGUUUCCUGAUGGUUGUUGCUGAGAGUGUCUUACAAUCAUAAUAAGAACCACAAGGACUGGCCCAGUCACAACAUAUAGUAUAAUAUAUAGUACAUUAUAUAUUCUACACUUAGGAUAUACGCCGAAGUGAUACUAGUGAUUAUCCCAGUGAAUGGGAAGGGUAGCCAGAGAAUGGAGGGAGAACUUCCACUUUCUAACAUAUUAGCUCUGUUUUCUUGAAUUUUUUUCAAUGAGCAAAUGCACACCUUUUAUAGUUUUUAAACAAAAAGAGGAGAAAAAACUCAUAAUUUCUAGGUGUUGUGACAAUACUUUGCCAAUAUCUAGUCUAUUUAUGUUGUUUGAGGAGAAAAUUGUGCAAGUGAAUGCUUAGCAUCCAAAGUCCAAAAUAAAGAAAGAAUGUAAGAAUUUCAAAAAAACAGAGGUUUCUUCUUGACCUUGAUCCAACUGCCUAAAGAAAGAAAAAUCAUACUAAUUGCUUUCCUGACACAUUUGACUUGAUCCCAUCUUAGCAGAACACUGGUAAUACCACUUCCUCUGAGUGUACCAUCUCUAACAGUUGCCUUCAGCAGUGACUUUGAAAUAAAUUUUAAUACAAGAGA